CAAAAAUACAGUAUGUACUAUACUGUACAACAGUUGGUAUAUUUUGUCACUGGGCAAGUAGCACAUGUCAUGCUAUGGGGAGAGCGUCCUAAUUCCAUUAAGUAGCUUUGCACCUGUCCAUGCAGCACACUGUAUAUAUCUGACCCCAUUCCUAUCAACAGCAGUGCUUGGAUACAUUUAACACAGUGGUGAAUUUAGCUAGUAUCUCAAACCUCAGAUACAACAACCCUGUAAAAACACCACCAUUAAAUCAUAAAAACAAAUUUAUUGCUUCAAACUGACAUGACUUAAUUGCCCCCCCCCUCCCUUCCCCUUGUGC
Molecule: long non-coding RNA, 319 nt
Organism: Syngnathus acus (greater pipefish)
Lineage: Eukaryota; Metazoa; Chordata; Actinopteri; Syngnathiformes; Syngnathidae
Exons: 3
Source: RefSeq, a predicted model, not a curated record